Molecule: non-coding RNA, 2451 nt
Organism: Marmota flaviventris (yellow-bellied marmot)
Lineage: Eukaryota; Metazoa; Chordata; Mammalia; Rodentia; Sciuridae
Source: RefSeq, a predicted model, not a curated record
ACUAUAAUACAAAAUGUGUUCUAAUUUUAAGAAAAUUUCAUAAUGUAGUAAAAAGGUUUAUUAAAAAAUGGAUUUCAUAAGGCAUACCCAAAACUAAUCAACAGGUACCCAUCUCAUCAAGUGCAUUCCAGGGGCAGGCGAUGUGAGCUGGGUGGUACCUUACCCAGUUGGAACACCAGAAUCCUAAAACCAAAUUGUUGGUUUUGGUCCACAAUUUGCUGUGUGCCUGAGUGCACUAUGUAUUUAUUUUUCAAAUGGAUGUUUUAGCAACCAGCUGAGGCCUCUGCUUCCUUCAAAUAUGCCACAAUCCUAGUUACUUCCUCCUCCUCCUUCCCUCCAGUGGGCCCAAAGUGCAAACGUAAGUAACAGAGUCCCCCCAGUAAAGGCUGACAGCCCUGUGAGCAGGCUGCUUCCCCCAGCUGGGGCAGGCCUUUUAAUAUGUACCAGCUCCCCGCCCCCCCACAAAUGAGUCUCAGUUCCCACCAUAGCUUUGCAGAACUUUACUUGGCUAGAAGGAUCUGUCUCCUGCAAAGUAGACAAUUAAAAUAGAUUUUUUAAUUUGCAGAUAAACACAUCUUAAUGCAGCGAUAGCUCUUGAACUUCUCACUCCCAGCCUAAUCUUUAAUUUGUCCCAGAAAUGCAGAAACCUUGAAGUGUUCUUUAAAUAUAAAGAUCAAAAAGAAAAAUAAAAAAAAGGCACUAAAAGCUUUAAAAGAUACCUGUCCAAAUUACCCUAUAAAGAGCCCUUUAAAAAACAAAACUCCACAUUCCCAGAGAUUAACUGCAGGGGAUCUAUGUUGAGAGUGAUGUGAUGUUGUCAUGAAUGAUCAUGAUAACCGACAAAACGACAAAACGGAAUCAGCCUCAGUGUGGGGCCUCACAGUUAAAGAAGUAAACAGAAAAAAAAAAAAAAAAAAAAGGUCUCCUGUGUAAGAAGUGUUUCAACAUGAACUGCUGUCAAAGGGGGUUUUAAAGUAAAACCUGGUUGGGAAUGUAGCUCAGUGGAUGAGCCUCUGCCCUGGGUUCCAUCCCCAGCACUGAAAAAAAAAAAUAAAGUAAGAAAAGAAAAGAAAAAAAUAAAUAAAAAGAAAGAAAGAAAAGAAACCAAAGCAUGGAAGAACUGCUUCCUAUGUACAGUGGAAAAGUUUACCCAAAUGACAAGCUGUCGUGUGGGGACGUCUCAACAACAUUCUAGUUUGUUUCCUCAGAUCAAAAAGCAGAGACACAAGCUCAGCAUUUCUAUCUGUGCUGUGGGUCAUCUUCCCUGUUCCCUGGAGUAAUCAUAUGCUGCAUCCAUGAAGCAACUGUCUAACACCUGAAUGUUCUCAGUACAAAGACCAGUGGGGUCAUAUGACAAGGCUAUAUUUAGAGAAGGACUCUGUUUUCUGUUUUGCUCAGCCCUCACCAUUUUCUGCUCCAAAGAGGAGUUUCAAAUGCACAUUGAUCUUUCUCAUUUCGUGAAUGAACUGAAUUAGCACCUGUUUUCAACUGCCAAAAAAUGCACUUUUAUUUUUUUUAAAUGGGGAAAGAGAAGUCUGUGUGCUGUUAAGUCAACAUGGGAGGAACAAAAGAAAGAGGAUUCUCCCUUUUGGCAGAAACCUACAGUCACUUGAGCUGUAACUGGGAUAUCCCGGGGAAGAGGUCAGGUCCUGGCGGAUGUAUCAGCACCCACGCAGGAAAACACCAAAAUGUGUUUGCUAAAUCAGGGGAGGAAGCCCAUCCCUCCGAGGACAGUUGGAGAUAUGAUAGAGCACUUGCCAGGCAUGCGCACCCUGCUUCAAAACCAGCAUGAGGGCGUUGGGGGCAGGGGUUGAAGAGGUUCAACUAUGAAGGUGUAAAGCCUUCGCCCACAAAACAGAGGUGCCAAAGGCAGUGCUAAAAGACAAGGAUGACUUCGCAUUUAGAGAUGGUGACACUCUUGGGACAUACAUAGACUAAAAUGAAUGACUGCUGAAGCUGCCACCGAUGCAGUUCUGAAAGCUCUCAGCAUGUACAUAAUCCCCAGGCCUCUCUUUUAGAAUCCACUGAUAUCUAAUCUAAUAAUAAUAGGAACUGAAAAGAUAAAGCUCAGCGUGCUGCGUCCUGCGCCCUCCUGGAAGGGGCGGAGUCUCGUUCCCAGGUUCUCCUGGGGACUGUGCCCAGGUCUAGUGUGGAGGAGGCCCGGGAGCGAGGUCGAGCCUCUGCGGAGCCCGGUGUUCGGGAGCUGGACUGUGAGGCUCGGGGCAGAGAAUGCAGAACAUGAACUGUUCCACUUUCCAGCUAAUAUUUGAGCACCUGCUGUAUGUGAAGUGUCGCUCAAGAAUCAGACAAAGUCCUGGCCCUCCUGGAACCCGUGGUCUCGACAGAGAAGGCAGACGUCAGACUAAACCUCCCUGGACGGCUGCCCUCUCGGACAUCCAGACACCCGGAAGGUUCUCAAGCUCAGCGCCCCCCACCAGGAGCCCCCCGGCC